Molecule: ribosomal RNA, 1364 nt
Filed under: uncultured bacterium
Lineage: Bacteria
Description: bacterial SSU rRNA
Rfam family: Bacterial small subunit ribosomal RNA
Source: RNAcentral
AUUGAACGCUGGCGGCAGGCCUAACACAUGCAAGUCGAACGGUAACAGGAAGCAGCUUGCUGCUUUGCUGACGAGUGGCGGACGGGUGAGUAAUGUCUGGGGAUCUGCCCGAUGGAGGGGGAUAACCACUGGAAACGGUGGCUAAUACCGCAUAACGUCGCAAGACCAAAGUGGGGGACCUUCGGGCCUCACACCAUCGGAUGAACCCAGAUGGGAUUAGCUAGUAGGUGGGGUAACGGCUCACCUAGGCGACGAUCCCUAGCUGGUCUGAGAGGAUGACCAGCCACACUGGAACUGAGACACGGUCCAGACUCCUACGGGAGGCAGCAGUGGGGAAUAUUGCACAAUGGGCGCAAGCCUGAUGCAGCCAUGCCGCGUGUAUGAAGAAGGCCUUCGGGUUGUAAAGUACUUUCAGCGGGGAGGAAGGGAUGGCGCUUAAUACGCGCCGUCAUUGACGUUACCCGCAGAAGAAGCACCGGCUAACUCCGUGCCAGCAGCCGCGGUAAUACGGAGGGUGCAAGCGUUAAUCGGAAUUACUGGGCGUAAAGCGCACGCAGGCGGUCUGUUAAGUCAGAUGUGAAAUCUCCGGGCUUAACCUGGGAACUGCAUUUGAAACUGGCAGGCUUGAGUCUCGUAGAGGGGGGUAGAAUUCCAGGUGUAGCGGUGAAAUGCGUAGAGAUCUGGAGGAAUACCGGUGGCGAAGGCGGCCCCCUGGACGAAGACUGACGCUCAGGUGCGAAAGCGUGGGGAGCGAACAGGAUUAGAUACCCUGGUAGUCCACGCCGUAAACGAUGUCGACUUGGAGGCUGUUCCCUUGAGGAGUGGCUUCCGGAGCUAACGCGUUAAGUCGACCGCCUGGGGAGUACGGCCGCAAGGUUAAAACUCAAAUGAAUUGACGGGGGCCCGCACAAGCGGUGGAGCAUGUGGUUUAAUUCGAUGCAACGCGAAGAACCUUACCUGGUCUUGACAUCCACGGAAUUCGGCAGAGAUGCCCUAGUGCCUUCGGGAACCGUGAGACAGGUGCUGCAUGGCUGUCGUCAGCUCGUGUUGUGAAAUGUUGGGUUAAGUCCCGCAACGAGCGCAACCCUUAUCCUUUGUUGCCAGCGCGUGAUGGCGGGAACUCAAAGGAGACUGCCGGUGAUAAACCGGAGGAAGGUGGGGAUGACGUCAAGUCAUCAUGGCCCUUACGACCAGGGCUACACACGUGCUACAAUGGCGCAUACAAAGAGAAGCGACCUCGCGAGAGCAAGCGGACCUCAUAAAGUGCGUCGUAGUCCGGAUUGGAGUCUGCAACUCGACUCCAUGAAGUCGGAAUCGCUAGUAAUCGUGGAUCAGAAUGCCACGGUGAAUACGUUCCCGGGCCU